This 253-nucleotide ribosomal RNA is filed under the name uncultured bacterium. RNAcentral describes it as "partial 16S ribosomal RNA". It matches the Rfam family "Bacterial small subunit ribosomal RNA", at positions 524 to 776 of the family's 1533-position model. The record is from RNAcentral.
UACGGGGGGGGCAAGCGUUGCUCGGAAUCACUGGGCGUAAAGGGCGCGUAGGCGGGAUGGCAAGUCGGUCGUGAAAUCCUUCGGCUCAACCGAAGAACGUCGGCCGAUACUGCCGUUCUUGAGGGAUGCAGAGGAGAUUGGAAUUCCCGGUGUAGCGGUGAAAUGUGUAGAGAUCGGGAGGAACACCGGUGGCGAAGGCGGUUCUCUGGGCCUUACCUGACGCUGAGGAGCGAAAGCGUGGGGAGCGAACAGG